GUACUAUCUUACGGCCUAAGGUAUUUUUGGGUGCAGUUUUUAAGCCAAUUUUUUGUGUCAAAAAUAUCAAGAGUGCUUGUAUAUCCCUAUUGACUGUGAAGCCAAUUUCGGCCUUAAGUGUUUAACAAUAAGUUUUCUUUUGCUUUAUUAUGGAUGGAACUCCAUUUGGUCAGAAAUAUGAUCCUAGCCUAUUUGAGCACCAUGGGGUAGGUUGUAGUUUGAGCGACAGUAAAAUGUUUAGACACACUGACGUUUUAUUGAUCUGAAAUACAUACAAGUAUUACUAAAACAUUACAAUAAAGAAUUAACCUUAAUUAGCAUUGAUGAGUACAUUCAAGUUCAUUGACAAUGUUGAUGAAUGUAAUUAUUGUAACAAGAUGUAAUUUUUUAUGGAUUUUUUUUAAAUCGAAUUAUUUUUUGGGGACAAUAGAGUGUAUAUAUUAUGCAUAUCAGAACAAUAAAAUCAGCUGUUAGUCUAAAGCAUUUACAUAUUUUGAAAGAAUCUUCAUUUCUUAGCAACACAGCGGUGUAGCCAGCCACGAAAAUUGAUCAACAGUUAUUUUUCUAAGGCACAUUUUUGUUUUCAAAUCUUUUAUAUGCAUCGGCGUAGAGUCCAUACGAAUUCCCAUAAACAAUAUUUAUUCGGCCUCUCCAGUCCUGAAGCCAUAGCGCUUGAUAACGCACUUCUUCCAGUCUGCUCCGAUUUCCGGUACCUCGGUUCGCUUAUUCAGGGCGAUGGCGAAAUAGAUCGGACAGUUACGCACAGAAUUAACGCAGGAUGGAUGAAAUGGCGGCAGGUAACGGGAACAACUUGUGACCCUCGUAUUCCCCUUAAACUUAAGGGGAAAAUUUACAAGAGUAUGGUCAGACCUGCUGUCUUGUAUGGAUCAGAGUGCUGGCCCACAAAAGCGACGAAUGAAAGACAAUUGCAUGCGGCAGAGAUGAGAAUGUUAAGAGGUAUGCGUGGGGUUACGCGAAUGGAUAGAGUGAGGAAUGAGUAUAUAAGAGGAAGUUUGAAAGUGGCGCCGGUAUCAGAAAAACUGCGUGGAAACCGGCUGUCGUGGUAUGGGCAUGUGAUGCGGAGGAAUGAGAGUCAUGUUGUGAGGAAGGUGAUGAGUAUGAACGUGGACGGAUAUAGUGGAAGGGGAAGACCAAAAAAACGAUGGAUGGAUUGUGUGAAAGUAGAUAUGGUAAGAAAGAAUGUUACUUGUGAGAUGACGUCAGAUAGAAGAAUAUGGAAGAAGAAAACAUGCUGCGCCGACCCCAAAUGAAAUUGGGAUAAGGGCAGGAGGAUGAUGAUGAUGAAUAUUUAUUUCACUACUGAUAUAAAUGAUUUUGUAACGGAAAUGUCAACCAAUUGUCGCGGCUAACUACAUCAUACAUUUAAGACUUGUCUUUUAUUACGAGUAUUCUAAUGGUUUGUAAGGAACAAAUUCACUGAUAAAACAUACUUAUUCUACUGGGAAACUGAUACUCAAGCAAUAAAAUCGAAUAUGAAGCGAUUCGACGAACUCGUACAUACAUAAGUACAUACCUUCAAUGCGUUAUCUAUAACGAGUAACAUAAACUGCAAGCAACUAAUUGUUUACGCAAUUAUUACCAUAAUUACGAGAUAGCCUAGCGACACUAGGAUCAAGACCUAAAGAUGGACCAGUCUAUCUUGAUACUUGGUAGAAUUUAUUUCAAAGAUAUCUAGCAAUCUGCUACUGCGGAUAGGUGUAACGGGACGGUCAAUAAUAGUACUAUAAAGUUUUGAAUACUAAAACAAAAAAACACUUGUCAUAAGAAUUACCGAAUAGACUGAAGUUUUAUACAACGAAACUUCCCUAAAAACGUGUGAUCACAAAAUCACGUAGCACCUAUUUCUCAUGCCAAAGAAAAUCUCAACACAGCAUGAAUUUGUAAUAAUUGUUUGUGAUGUAACUUUUGAAAUAAGUAAUUUCCUUUUCAGCAAGUAUCAAGAUAUACUAGUAUGACAUUUACAUCUGAACUAAAAGUUCAAAGUACUAUUUCUUUAACUAAUAAUUAUAUUCAAGAAACCUGCAUCCGGCCGUUGUAAAAUGAAAUAAAAUAAUUUGCAUUUCAACCUUGCACUCGUAACAAUGAGGAUUGUCAAUGUCAAGGACUGUGGUAUAGCAUUAAACUUUAUGUGAACAAUUUUGAUACUUUAAUAGAAAUUAGUCAUAUAAUAAUAUUGGUAGAAUUUUUAUUAUUUGUAAAUUCUUCAUAGGUAUAG
Helicoverpa armigera (cotton bollworm) is the source of this 2236-nucleotide long non-coding RNA. RefSeq lists it as uncharacterized. The transcript has 2 exons. The record is from RefSeq and is a predicted model, not a curated record. Lineage: Eukaryota; Metazoa; Arthropoda; Insecta; Lepidoptera; Noctuidae.